GGCCUCGAAUCAGGUGGGACUACCCGCUGAACUUAAG
This 37-nucleotide ribosomal RNA is filed under the name Hydnum sp. R-71. Its description in RNAcentral is "partial 28S ribosomal RNA". The record is from RNAcentral. Lineage: Eukaryota; Fungi; Basidiomycota; Agaricomycetes; Cantharellales; Hydnaceae.